ACUCAGAAGCUUGGACCGCAUCCUAGCCGCCGACUCACACAAGGCAGGUGGGUGAGGAAAUCCAGAGUUGCCAUGGAGAAAAUUUCAGUGUCAGCAUUCUUGCUCCUUGUGGCCCUCUCCUACACUCUGGCCAGAGAUACCACAGUCAAACCUGGAGCCAAAAAGGACACAAAGGACUCUCGACCCAAACUGCCCCAGACCCUCUCCAGAGGUUGGGGUGACCAACUCAUCUGGACUCAGACAUAUGAAGAAGCUCUAUAUAAAUCCAAGACAAGCAACAAACCCUUGAUGAUUAUUCAUCACUUGGAUGAGUGCCCACACAGUCAAGCUUUAAAGAAAGUGUUUGCUGAAAAUAAAGAAAUCCAGAAAUUGGCAGAGCAGUUUGUCCUCCUCAAUCUGGUUGUAAGUUUCCUUUUCAUCAUUACUAACAUUUCUCUAUGGCUCAUUACUUGAAAUGGAUUAUUCAUUUUUUCCUAUACAUCUUAGUUAUAUUGCAUUAACUGGGAUUGCUUCCAAAUAUCCCAUCUCAUAAAUUAGAGAGAAAAAAGAUAUUUCGUUGUAUUAAUAAUCCAU
RNAcentral lists this small RNA (573 nucleotides) under Pan troglodytes (chimpanzee). RNAcentral's name for it is "retained intron". Lineage: Eukaryota; Metazoa; Chordata; Mammalia; Primates; Hominidae. The record is from RNAcentral.